Molecule: unclassified non-coding RNA, 346 nt
Filed under: soil metagenome
Description: partial contains 5.8S ribosomal RNA, internal transcribed spacer 2, and large subunit ribosomal RNA
Rfam family: 5.8S ribosomal RNA (bases 1-120)
Source: RNAcentral
GAUGAAGAACGCAGCGAAAUGCGAUAAGUAAUGUGAAUUGCAGAAUUCAGUGAAUCAUCGAAUCUUUGAACGCACAUUGCGCCCGCCAGUAUUCUGGCGGGCAUGCCUGUUCGAGCGUCAUUACAACCCUCAGGCCCCCGGGCCUGGCGUUGGGGAUCGGCGGAGCCCCCCGUGGGCACACGCCGUCCCCCAAAUGCAGUGGCGGUCCCGCCGCAGCUUCCAUCGCGUAGUAGCUAACACCUCGCGACUGGAGAGCGGCGCGGCCACGCCGUAAAACACCCAACUCUUCUGAAGUUGACCUCGAAUCAGGUAGGAAUACCCGCUGAACUUAAGCAUAUCCGGAGGA